AAAAGGAAAAUUAAAAAAAAAAAUGACAUGCUAAAGGACUGUUUUCCUAGAGAAUUUUUAUUCCCAUAAAAAAAUGCAAGCAGGAAAUUUGCUUAGUACAGUUGGCCAGUUGCUCAGUAAUAUUUGAUAGGAAAAUCACACUUAUUGCACAAAUAAUCCUGUAAACUGAUCAUAAUUAUCUGGCAACAAAAAUAUUUUUUUUAUGUAGUUUCCGAAAUAUUGCAAUAUUUUGGAUGAUGAGAGACAAAAAUCUUAAAAGUUCUCCUGACCAUGGUGUGUAGACUAGAUUUUUAUUUAUUUGAAUUAAAUGUAUAUAUCCAUGAUGCACGCUGAUGCAACAGUUCUUAAAUAUAUCUGAGGCAUAUUUAAAAAUAAGCAUUUAAGCAGAUUUAGAAACCAGUCAAAUAGGAGUUAAAAUUAAUAUUUGAUAACUUAACUUUCCUAAAGUUUCAGCAUGAGACAGGCAAUUAUAGUCAGAUAUUACAGAGUAAGGUGGCUUCACUUCUCCAAGGACAUAAAUUUCAAAUGCACAACUCAACACAUUCAACUUAUCUGUUGAUUUGAAUAAAAGUUGAAAUGCACAACUCAACACAUUCAACUUAUCUGUUGAUUUGAAUAAAAGUUGAAAUGCACAACUCAACACAUUCAAUUUAUCUGUUGAUUUUAUGCUUUUUGAGUGAAUUUCAAAUAAAUUCCAGCAACUCGUUGAAUAUCUCAAAACGAUGAAGAACCAAACUCUAGGAUCUAAUCCAGUUUGCAAUUUUACUGGAAACAAGGAGGCAAUAACAGAGAAAGGUUCCACAUCACAUUUUAUUUAUUUAUUUUUUUGACUACCUAUUCAGAUAAUCUUACAGAUGAAAUAAUCUGAUAAUCUCACACAUGAACAGAUCUCAUGUUUCUUCCAGAGGAAAAAGAAUAACACAAGUUACACAAUGAAGCCACAAACAGAUGAGCCAUUGGUUGGAAGGCCAAAUGAGACUCUUUAUGCUUCAUAUGUUGUUAGGAUCCAAUAAUUUUGGGGUAUUCCAGGGGAGGACUUAAUAUGAAGAAGAUGAAGAAUCUAGCAGAACCAAUUUUUUUAACUUAUGUAGAGGAACACAUGUAUUGCAUAGCUGUCACCAUGCAUGCAACUGAAAUUGGGAUUUUUGUCCAACCUUGACCUCCUCCAAUCCCCCUCUCCCCCCGCCAACCUCCCAACUGCUUGAGCUAAGCCUAUCGACUUUGCAACUUUCCAUUUUAAUUGCGUGUUCCCUCAUUAUACAGUUGAAAGUAAAUAGUAAUUACUUUGCUUGUAAAGUAAUUAACAAUGUAUUUCAUAUGUAACAUGCCGACAAAGAUUCGUAAUUUUACAUUGGGGUUAUGGAUUUUCAGUUU
This 1374-nucleotide unclassified non-coding RNA is filed under the name Hevea brasiliensis (rubber tree). The record is from RNAcentral. Lineage: Eukaryota; Viridiplantae; Streptophyta; Magnoliopsida; Malpighiales; Euphorbiaceae.